GUGAGUCAUCGAAUCUUUGAACGCACAUUGCGCCCCUCGGUAUUCCGACGGGCACGCCUGCGUGAACGUCAUUAAAACACUCGAGCCCGGCUCGGUGAUGGGGUUGGCCCGAGAGGGCCUCCGCCCGCAAGCGAACGUGGUCGGCGGAGGGAAGAGUCCGAGUAGUGAACACGCCUCGACGCUCCUCUCCUCCCUGCCCCCUUCAACAUCAUCCUUGACUUCACGUCAGACGAGGUUACCCGCUGAACUUAAGCAUAUCAAUAAGCGGAGGA
Molecule: unclassified non-coding RNA, 272 nt
Filed under: Leotiomycetes sp.
Lineage: Eukaryota; Fungi; Ascomycota; Leotiomycetes
Description: partial contains 5.8S ribosomal RNA, internal transcribed spacer 2, and large subunit ribosomal RNA
Rfam family: 5.8S ribosomal RNA (bases 1-71)
Source: RNAcentral